GACGAACGCUGGCGGCGUGCUUAACACAUGCAAGUCGAACGGAAAGGCCCUGCUUUUGUGGGGUGCUCGAGUGGCGAACGGGUGAGUAACACGUGAGUAACCUGCCCUUGACUUUGGGAUAACUUCAGGAAACUGGGGCUAAUACCGGAUAGGAGCUCCUGCUGCAUGGUGGGGGUUGGAAAGUUUCGGCGGUUGGGGAUGGACUCGCGGCUUAUCAGCUUGUUGGUGGGGUAGUGGCUUACCAAGGCUUUGACGGGUAGCCGGCCUGAGAGGGUGACCGGCCACAUGGGGACUGAGAUACGGCCCAGACUCCUACGGGAGGCAGCAGUGGGGAAUAUGGCACAAUGGGCGGAAGCCUGAUGCAGCAACGCCGCGGGCGGGAUGACGGCCUGCGGGUUGUAAACCGCUUUCGCCUGUGACGAAGCGUGAGUGACGGUAAUGGGUAAAGAAGCACCGGCUAACUACGUG
This 468-nucleotide ribosomal RNA is filed under the name uncultured bacterium. Its description in RNAcentral is "partial 16S ribosomal RNA". It matches the Rfam family "Bacterial small subunit ribosomal RNA", at positions 28 to 507 of the family's 1533-position model. The record is from RNAcentral.